CAAGUCGAGCGAACAGAUAAGGAGCUUGCUCCUUUGACGUUAGCGGCGGACGGGUGAGUAACACGUGGGUAACCUACCUAUAAGACUGGAAUAACUCCGGGAAACCGGGGCUAAUGCCGGAUAACAUAUAGAACCGCAUGGUUCUAUAGUGAAAGAUGGUUUUGCUAUCACUUAUAGAUGGACCCGCGCCGUAUUAGCUAGUUGGUAAGGUAAUGGCUUACCAAGGCGACGAUACGUAGCCGACCUGAGAGGGUGAUCGGCCACACUGGAACUGAGACACGGUCCAGACUCCUACGGGAGGCAGCAGUAGGGAAUCUUCCGCAAUGGGCGAAAGCCUGACGGAGCAACGCCGCGUGAGUGAUGAAGGGUUUCGGCUCGUAAAACUCUGUUAUUAGGGAAGAACAUAUGUGUAAGUAACUGUGCACAUCUUGACGGUACCUAAUCAGAAAGCCACGGCUAACUACGUGCCAGCAGCCGCGGUAAUACGUAGGUGGCAAGCGUUAUCCGGAAUUAUUGGGCGUAAAGCGCGCGUAGGCGGUUUCUUAAGUCUGAUGUGAAAGCCCACGGCUCAACCGUGGAGGGUCAUUGGAAACUGGGAAACUUGAGUGCAGAAGAGGAAAGUGGAAUUCCAUGUGUAGCGGUGAAAUGCGCAGAGAUAUGGAGGAACACCAGUGGCGAAGGCGACUUUCUGGUCUGUAACUGACGCUGAUGUGCGAAAGCGUGGGGAUCAAACAGGAUUAGAUACCCUGGUAGUCCACGCCGUAAACGAUGAGUGCUAAGUGUUAGGGGGUUUCCGCCCCUUAGUGCUGCAGCUAACGCAUUAAGCACUCCGCCUGGGGAGUACGACCGCAAGUUGAAACUCAAAGGAAUUGAC
Molecule: ribosomal RNA, 874 nt
Filed under: Staphylococcus arlettae
Lineage: Bacteria; Bacillati; Bacillota; Bacilli; Caryophanales; Staphylococcaceae
Description: bacterial SSU rRNA
Rfam family: Bacterial small subunit ribosomal RNA
Source: RNAcentral